This 432-nucleotide ribosomal RNA is filed under the name uncultured bacterium. RNAcentral's name for it is "partial 16S ribosomal RNA". It matches the Rfam family "Bacterial small subunit ribosomal RNA", at positions 338 to 795 of the family's 1533-position model. The record is from RNAcentral.
CCUACGGGUGGCAGCAGUCGAGAAUUUUUCACAAUGGGGGCAACCCUGAUGGAGCGACGCCGCGUGGAGGAUGAAGGUCUUCGGAUUGUAAACUCCUGUCAUUGGUGAACUAGUAGCCGAAGAGGAAGGGACGGCUAACUCUGUGCCAGCAGCCGCGGUAAUACAGAGGUCCCGAGCGUUGUUCGGAUUUAUUGGGCGUAAAGGGUGCGUAGGCGGCGGAGUAAGUUGGGUGUGAAAUCCCGGGGCUUAACCUCGGAAUGGCAUUCAAUACUGCUUCGCUAGAGUACUGGAGAGGAGGCUGGAAUUUACGGUGUAGCAGUGAAAUGCGUAGAUAUCGUAAGGAAGGCCGGUGGCGAAAGCGAGCCUCUGGACAGUACUGACGCUGAUGCACGAAGGCCAGGGGAGCAAACGGGAUUAGAUACCCUUGUAGUC